CCUUCGGGAGAAAGAUUUAUCGGAGAUGGAUGAGCCCGCGUUGGAUUAGCUAGUUGGUGGGGUAAUGGCCUACCAAGGCGACGAUCCAUAGCUGGUCUGAGAGGAUGAUCAGCCACACUGGGACUGAGACACGGCCCAGACUCCUACGGGAGGCAGCAGUGGGGAAUAUUGGACAAUGGGCGAAAGCCUGAUCCAGCCAUGCCGCGUGAGUGAUGAAGGCCCUAGGGUUUGUAAAGCUCUUUCAACGGCUGAAGAUAAUGGACGGUAACCUGUAGAAGAAGCCCCGGCGUAACUUCUGUGCCAGGCAGCCGCGUGUAAUACCGAAGGGUGUGCUAGCGUUGUUCGGCAAUUACCUGCGGCGUAAAGGCGCACGUUAGGGGCGGAUACCUUAAGUUCAGGGGGUGGAAAUCCCCGG
RNAcentral lists this ribosomal RNA (415 nucleotides) under Mesorhizobium sp. UFLA01-776. RNAcentral's name for it is "bacterial SSU rRNA". It matches the Rfam family "Bacterial small subunit ribosomal RNA", at positions 193 to 673 of the family's 1533-position model. Lineage: Bacteria; Pseudomonadati; Pseudomonadota; Alphaproteobacteria; Hyphomicrobiales; Phyllobacteriaceae. The record is from RNAcentral.